Non-coding RNA from Misgurnus anguillicaudatus (oriental weatherfish), 1140 nucleotides. NCBI's taxonomy places the organism in Eukaryota, Metazoa, Chordata, Actinopteri, Cypriniformes, Cobitidae. The record is from RefSeq and is a predicted model, not a curated record.
AUUGAAUGCGCUACACCCAGUCCAGUAGGAGGCGCUAAUGACCCUUCAGUUGCCAACCGCCACUCAGGCCAAAAGCGCAGAAGAACAAAAAUGACCGGGAAAAUCUGACAGGAGUGAGAAGAUGAUAACAGCACAGCGGGGUUUUAGAAGCCCAUCAGAGUGAUUUCCUGAGCUCUUUCGCAUAUGCUGUAUGGUCAGAGAAUGGAUGGAUUAUCCAGUCACGGUACAUAAUGAAAGACUUGACUGAGUUAGAAGAAGCUGAGCGACUCUUCAGAGUGAAGAUGUUAUGAUGCAGUUAUGUCAAAGUACUUGUUUUGGCUGGCCAGAUUGGAACAGACCUGAAUGGGAAGAUGGCAGAGCUAAGACUGACAAUGUCCAGGAAAAAUGUUAACUAAAAAUGAGUGUGUUUUUCCCCAGCGAGUGAGUUUGGGAAUGUUUUAAAUGUGCCUAGAAGUUUGAAAAUGUAAUACUGAGGGAAAAAAGUGAGCGCUUUGAAAAGGCUUUAAAAAGAAAAUAAAGUCUGAAGUUGAUGUUAAAUGAAGUUAAAAUUUUUACUUGAAAAGUUUGUACUUGUUUGUACUUGUCAAGUCUGUGCUGAAAAAAUGCAGUAAAGUUUGUAUUUGAAAAGACUUGGAAUUGUGUGUUCUGUAGAAUGAGUACAAAUAUAUGUGUAGGCUGUAUAAAAAAACAUAGUUGUGCCACUAAUAUAAGUGAAAGUACAUGGUGGCAUCAUAUAAGAAGCAUAUUUGUAUCCCUAAUAUAAGUGAAAGUACAUGGUGGCAUCAUAUAAGAAGCAUAUUUGUAUCCCUAAUAUAAGUGAAAGUACAUGGUGGCAUCAUAUUUGAAGCAUAUUUGUAUCCCUAAUAUAAGUGAAAGUAUGUACUAUGGAAAUAAGUACAUAUAUGCAUGUAUACAUAUAUGUGUCUUACAUAUAUUUCACAUGUAUGUCCAUAUAUGGGAAAAUAUAUGGCACUUAUAUGAAAACGGCCAUUUUUGCUAUAUUUUGAAAUAUAUUUUCCAUAUAUGUCCAUGUAUUUUACAUAUAUGAAUUUUGCAUAUUUAAUAUAUGCAGCAGACAUACAUGGGCACUGAUAUUAUAUAUGUAAUUUACAUAUAUUGACAUAUAUUACAUUUCUGUAU